RNA transcript from Stomoxys calcitrans (stable fly), 4021 nucleotides. It is a transcript of the gene named glutamic acid-rich protein, with no coding region annotated. The transcript has 12 exons. Lineage: Eukaryota; Metazoa; Arthropoda; Insecta; Diptera; Muscidae. The record is from RefSeq and is a predicted model, not a curated record.
UCGCCCGCAACAAAAUUCAGACGUUUACCGACAACGAACGCGAGCGGGAGCAAAUUUGAUCAAAUCUAGAAAGCAUCGGACGGCUAACACAAGUGGUGUGUUUGUGUGUGAGGGUGCGUGUGUGUGUGUGUAUGUGAGUUGGUGCUACCAUACACUCCGCUACAUACAAAAAGACAAGAAGGAAAGCAGCAACCAACCAUUUAGCGAGUGCUACACAGUCUUCGCCUAUAUCUUCUGCCCGCACGACACAUAUUGUACAUUAAUUCAUUUUCCCAUUUUUUUCGAAAAGUGGAAAAGACAAUUAAUUGUUUUAGAAUAUAUUUUUUAUAUUGGCACCGCUCUCGAAACCAUAAUCCCUCAACGUUUACGACUCGGAGUUUGAGUGUGAGUGUUUGUGGAAAUUCGAAUUAGAAUUGGAAAUAUUAUUUUUUGUUUUGACUGCAGUAACCGUUGAUGAUCUCCCGUUGUAAAGUCAAGUAACGCGAGUGUACAUGUGUGUGCGUGUAAUACUUCUCGCCUAACCCAACAGUACGUAGGAAACAAAUUUUAAAAAUAGACCUAGUCCAAACACUGGGUCGCUAUAUAUCCCGGUGGCAGCAACUCUCAAUCAUCAAUCGGCUUGACAAUUCAUUUGUUCCAGAUAUAAAUUCCAACCUAUAAACCAACAACAUGUCUGGCGAUGUCCAACCACGCAAACGUAAGGACAAAAAGAAGAAACGUGAAUCUCUUGACUAUCGAAAAUCUGAGGGUGAGCUUGUUUUCUCCCGUCAAUCCAGUGUACAAGAUGACGAAUCUUCGCAUGGUGUUCAUAUCACCAAAAUGAUGUCCGAUGAUGUACAUUUGCAUGUUCAGCAUGAUCAUGGCACUGGAGGUCAUUGGUGUGCCAAGAUAAUUUUCUUCUCUUUGAUGACUGUACUAUUGGGCUUGGUAUGCCUAAUAAUCUUGGAAAAUCGAGGCAUUUCGGAUGUUGACACACCCUUAUCGGAAUCGCGUUUUUCAAAUUAUUUCGAAGGUUGGGUUGAUGAACAUCGAGCGGAUGAUGAUCAUGGUGCUGCGCAUGGUUCAGUUGAGGAGGACCACGAUGAUCACGACGAUCACGAUGAUGACCAUGAUGAACCGUAUGAGGAAGAAGCCGAUGCCUCUGAGGGGGAUGAAGAGGAGAAUGUAACACAAGAAGAAGCUGAAGAGGCUGAUGAAGAUGAAGAUGAUGAAGAUGAUGAAAAUGCCACAGCAGAAGAUGACAAUGCUACUGCCGAAGAUGUCGAAGAGGAUGAUGAAAAUGCUACAGGCGAAGAUGACAAUGCCACAGCUGAAGAUGAGAAUGUAACACCCGAAGAUGAUGAGAAUCUCACAGCGGAAGAUGAUAAUGUUACUGCUGAAGAUGAUAAUGUCACUGCUGAAGAGGAUAAUGCCACUACUGAAGAUGACAAUGUUACCGCAGAAGAGGAAAAUGUUACAGCCGAAGAAGAUGAAGAGGAUGAUAAUAAUACAAAUGAGGAUAAUUUCGAUGACAAUGUAACCCAGGAAACAUCCAAGCCAGUUUCAAAGGGCAGUGCUGCAGACGAGGAUACAUUUGAAGAGGAUGAGGAUGACACCAAUGUGGACUCUAUUGAAAAUAUUGUCGACAAUGAUGCUUCAGAAUUAGAAUUAUUAAAGGAGAAAGCACGCCAGCAAGCAGCAGCUGAGGCUAAGAACAAUCCAGUAUCAGAAGAAAAUGAAGAGGAACUGGCGGAGCAAGCAUCAUCAUGGUCCUCGUCACUGACGGUAAAAAUUGGCGUUGGUCUGGCCCUAGCUUUAGUCGCGCGUCUAGUCUUGCUUAAGAAAAAUCCAAACACAAGCGAAGAGGCUGCUCCUGAAGUUCUUAUGAAACGUCGCCUUACCAUAGCAACACCAGAGGAAGACAUACCGGAAGAUACCAAUGAAAUAGUGGAGGCCUUACCGGAAAAUGAAGAAGAAUUUUCUGAAGAAGAAAUAGAAAUCGAAGAGGAGAUCGAAUACAUCGAUGACAUCGAAGAGGAACAGGUUGCGGAGGAAAACGAAGUCGAUGCCGGUGAAAAUGUUUACAAACCUGAGACAUUCGAAGAACUUAAUGCCAUGUACAGGCCAAAAGGUUAUCAAGCCGAAAACUAUGAUGAUAAUAGAACUCAAACGAAAACUGACCCCGAAACAUACUCGUAUCGUUCCCCAUAUCAGACUUCUUUUAAAACUCCUACCACUACCACAACACCAGUUACAACUACAACAAAUUACACAAGUCCAGUCCAAAUUGUUAGGGAGGAGCCCACUGUGAACACUGUGCCCCAAAGACCUUCAAUGAGACCGCCAAUAUUCGAAGCCCCUCCACCACCUCCAUUGGUUGAGGCCAAAAUUGAGAUGGCAAAGCCUUCAACAACCUACAUGAGUAAUAGUGCCAAACAAUCAUCACCACGAAGCAGUAUGGACAACUAUUCAUCUUCUCGCUUGGAAGAGAAAAAAUAUUCCCCUCCACAUGUAGAAGAGAAAAAAUAUUCUCCUCCCAAUGUUGAAGAGAAAAAAUAUUCACCACCCCAUAUGGAAAGGGAGCAAUACUCACCACAAACUCAAGUUGAAGAGAAAAUACAGAAAGUUGAAGAGCCCAAGCCCCAAACUAAAAGGGAGGUGACAUAUGACAUGGAUUAUAGGCCCGAAAUGGACUAUGAUGAGGAUGACAUCUACGAUGAUGAUGAUGAAGAAGGACAAGACGAUGACUCAGAAGACUUGGAAGAUGAUGACGAUUUAAUCGAUGACGAUGAUGAGGAAGAAGAUGACGAGGACCCAGAUGUAUCGGAUAUUGAUGAUAGCGAAUUAAUGAAUCGUUUGGAGGCUAAAUAUGGCAAACUUCCAGCAAAAGAAUAUGAGAGUGACGAAGAUCCUGAUGAUCCUACUUGGACACAAAUUAAACCAAAACCCAGUGGUGGUGGAGGCCCCCAGUCAAUGGAGGGUGAUGAAGAUUUAUUUGAACAAGAGUUACGAAGAGCCAACGAAGAAAUGAUGCGAGAGUUCAAUUAUCAUUAGAUAUGGCCUUUUUCCCUUAACCUAAAUGCUUAGCUUGUAUUCAUUUUGUUUUGUUUAGUUUCUUAAAAUUUUUUUAUUUCCUUUUAAAUAACUUUUGGUUUUGAUUAGUUCGUAAGAGACCUAAAGAGUCUAAGACCAUAACUGAAAAGAACAUAUAUAAUUUAUGAAUAAAGUAAUUUUUUUUAUGAUUUCAAACAACAAUUAUCCACAAAUAUUGUAUAGAGGUCCCCAUAAGCAUAGUGACUGACAAUAUUAACCUGAGUUUCAAUCAUAUGUUGCAUUUCGUUUUCGUUAGCUGCUAUUAUAGCAAAAUUAACUUAAUAUUUGUUUAACGAUAUAAUUGUAAUAGAUUUUAAAUACACCCACACUUUAAAAAUGGAAUUUAUUAUAAUUCAAACAAAUAUUGACUUAAUUUUGAGUGUUUUUUUUUAUAAAUUUUCAAUGGUUCUCUAAUUUACGCUGCAACUGCCUAUCUACCAAUUUUUAUUAACUUUUUAUUAUCCAAACGCCUGAUUGAAAACUGCUUUUAAUAAAUCAAUAAACAGCCAGACCAUAGAGUGCCCCUUAACAUAGCUUCUUUUUCUUCUUCUUAAUGCAUAUUUGCCUAAAACUUAAAAUUUUUUUGUUUUAAAUAACAAAAUUGUACUCUGUAUCAUGAAAGCAUAAAAAAAAUCAUUCGAAAUUCUUUUUUCAAUUCAUUUGAAAUUGGAAUAUUCGGUAAUCAUAUCAAGGAGUCCAUUGGCGUGGUAUACCUCAAGUUUAAAAUUACCAAAGAAACAGAGUAUAGGUUGAAAGUAAUUUAAAAUUGCAUCCCUGAACCAUCCCUAACAGAGGCAAACAAUUAAUACAAUCUCCCUGGAUAAGAGAUCAGAAAUGUGUUGCUGUCUUUGGAAAAGAUUUUGUUCGCAUUACCUUUACUUUAUAUUUUCUCUUCUACUUUGUUCCUGAUUGCUUUUCCCUAUAGUUAAAUUUUAUUUUAUUGAAACAA